Molecule: ribosomal RNA, 484 nt
Filed under: uncultured bacterium
Lineage: Bacteria
Description: partial 16S ribosomal RNA
Rfam family: Bacterial small subunit ribosomal RNA
Source: RNAcentral
AUUGAACGCUGGCGGCAGGCCUAACACAUGCAAGUCGAGCGGAUGACGGGAGCUUGCUCCUUGAUUCAGCGGCGGACGGGUGAGUAAUGCCUAGGAAUCUGCCUGGUAGUGGGGGACAACGUUUCGAAAGGAACGCUAAUACCGCAUACGUCCUACGGGAGAAAGCAGGGGACCUUCGGGCCUUGCGCUAUCAGAUGAGCCUAGGUCGGAUUAGCUUGUUGGUGAGGUAAUGGCUCACCAAGGCGACGAUCCGUAACUGGUCUGAGAGGAUGAUCAGACACACUGGAACUGAGACACGGUCCAGACUCCUACGGGAGGCAGCAGUGGGGAAUAUUGGACAAUGGGCGAAAGCCUGAUCCAGCCAUGCCGCGUGUGUGAAGAAGGUCUUCGGAUUGUAAAGCACUUUAAGUUGGGAGGAAGGGUUGUAGAUUAAUACUCUGCAAUUUUGACGUUACCGACAGAAUAAGCACCGGCUAACUCUGUG